Molecule: non-coding RNA, 113 nt
Organism: Acanthosepion pharaonis
Lineage: Eukaryota; Metazoa; Mollusca; Cephalopoda; Sepiida; Sepiidae
Source: the annotation of a GenBank genome assembly
UAUGGCCACAACAUGUUGAAACACCAGUUCCAUUACAAUCACCGAAGUUAAGCAAUGCUGAGCCUGGUCAGUACCUAGAUGGUUAACCACUUGGGAAUACCAGGUACUGUAAG